RNAcentral lists this unclassified non-coding RNA (225 nucleotides) under plant metagenome. Its description in RNAcentral is "partial contains small subunit ribosomal RNA, internal transcribed spacer 1, and 5.8S ribosomal RNA". The record is from RNAcentral.
UCUCCGUUGGUGAACCAGCGGAGGGAUCAUUACAGGACUCGCAAGACUCCUACAACCCUGUGAACUUAACUAUAAGCACGUUGCUUCGGCGGGUGUCUCGGAGGGGGUUCUCCCGUCCUGAGACGCGAAACCCGCCGGCAGCCUACUAUACUCUGUCUCUUUGCGUUGGCAUCUCGAGUACAAUCAAACAAGUUAAAACUUUCAACAACGGAUCUCUUGGUUCUG